RNAcentral lists this ribosomal RNA (253 nucleotides) under uncultured prokaryote. RNAcentral describes it as "partial 16S ribosomal RNA". It matches the Rfam family "Bacterial small subunit ribosomal RNA", at positions 524 to 776 of the family's 1533-position model. The record is from RNAcentral.
UACAGGGGGUGCAAACGUUGCUCGGAGUCAUUGGGCGUAAAGCGCGCGUAGGCGGUCGCUUAAGUCGGAUGUGAAAGCCCUUGGCUCAACCGAGGAAGUGCAUCCGAAACUGAGCAGCUAGAGUACGAAAGAGGGUCGCGGAAUUCCCGGUGUAGAGGUGAAAUUCGUAGAUAUCGGGAGGAACACCGGUGGCGAAGGCGGCGACCUGGGUCGAGACUGACGCUGAGGCGCGAAAGCGUGGGGAGCAAACAGG